This 429-nucleotide ribosomal RNA is filed under the name Chloroflexota bacterium. Its description in RNAcentral is "Chloroflexi bacterium partial 16S ribosomal RNA". It matches the Rfam family "Bacterial small subunit ribosomal RNA", at positions 355 to 776 of the family's 1533-position model. Lineage: Bacteria; Bacillati; Chloroflexota. The record is from RNAcentral.
UGGGGAAUAUUGCACAAUGGGCGCAAGCCUGAUGCAGCCAUGCCGCGUGUAUGAAGAAGGCCUUCGGGUUGUAAAGUACUUUCAGCGGGGAGGAAGGGAGUAAAGCUAAUACCUUUGCUCAUUGACGUUACCCGCAGAAGAAGCACCGGCUAACUCCGUGCCAGCAGCCGCGGUAAUACGGAGGGUGCAAGCGUUAAUCGGAAUUACUGGUCGUAAAGCGCACGCAGGCGGUGUGUAAAGUCAGAUGUGAAAUCCCCGGGGUCAACCUGGGAACUGAAUAGGAUAAUGGCAAGCUUGAGUGUCGUAGAGGGGGGUGAAAUUCCAGGUGUAGCGGUGAAAUGCGGAGGAAUCUGGGGGAAUACCGGUGGCGAAGGGGGCCCCCUGGACGAGGACUUACGCUAGGGUGCGAAAGCGUGGGGAGCAAACAGG